Long non-coding RNA from Oxyura jamaicensis (ruddy duck), 1355 nucleotides. RefSeq lists it as uncharacterized. The transcript has 3 exons. The record is from RefSeq and is a predicted model, not a curated record. Lineage: Eukaryota; Metazoa; Chordata; Aves; Anseriformes; Anatidae.
AGGAUCCACAAUUUGAAUAAGAGUGAAGCUGGUACCCGAUGUGAAGAUAGGUCUUGCUUCUUUGUUAUCUCCCAGGCAGGUUGUACAAAUCCUGGCUGCCAAUAUUCACAUUCCUUGCCAAAUGGCCAUCAGAGGAUUUAAUUUGUCAAUAGGCUGCAUGAAUACCCAGGCCACCUCCAUCUGCUGCUGUGACAGAACACAAUUAACAGGAAAAUCCCAGACCCUUUCCUCCUCUGUCUUGAUGCUGGAGUUUUCUGGCUGAGCGAUUUGACAUCAUCAUCAUUGCAGACGUUUCCCCUAUCUCUAUAGCAACGCACGAUGAUGCCACAAACAGAGGAUUAUGCAAUCUGUGUAGGCUCAGAUGGAAGGAGAGGCAGGGCUGGGAGCUCUGAUUUAUACACAAAUGUCUCUAAUAGCAGCAAGGGGAAUACAGAAACUUCUUGGCCAAGGAAAUGGUUUUUGUAUAAACAUUCUCAUCUUCCAAGUUUCUCUCCGGUGGGAAAGUUCCUCCUUAAAGUCCUCUUAUACAUAUACAUGUGUUGUAUAUACACAUUCACACACAGCUAUGUAUAUUUGUGUGUGAAGGAAUAUAGUGAUUAUGCAAAUGCAAUAUUGUUCCCAGCAUUGUGCAAGCAGGGAUAUUGCCAGCCCCCUAUACACAACCUCUAUCUAACAUAUCCAAGUUCAGCUGUGCUUUGCUCACCCCAAGCACAAAGGUGCUGUGGGACUGCCCAGACCUUGCACUCCCUCUUCAGCAGAAGGCUGGCCUGGAAGAUGCUGCUGAAUGUCUUUUUAAUAUAUGCUCUGGGAUCCUUUUGGAUCCUUGGAUAGAUGGGAUCAGCAUCCUUCUUGUUCAAACCCUCUCUAUCAUUUCUCUAGCAACUUUGUCCUGUGGUUAAGGCACAGGAGGAGAAGCAUAAGGGCAAUUUAAAAUCUUUGCCUUCCCAAAGGCUUUGUAGCUAAGCCUAUGGAAAUGUCUUUGAAGCCCUUCCUGUGCCUCAGUUUCUCCUGCAAUAGGACACAUAAAUCUCAGUUCUUAAGGAGGUGGUGAGUCUCAGCACUCUCAUCUCUGAGUGCUCAGACUCUUCGGUAAGGGGGUCCAUGGAGACUCUGGAAAACACACUUGUGGGUGUUUCUUCUAUGUUUAUCUAAUUUUUAUUGAACAUACAAAUGCAUCCUAUCUAGCACAUGUCAGAAUCAAUAACUGUGCCUUGUUAGCAGUUUUUCCAUUUAUGGCAUAUUGUCCUGACAUAGCUGUAAAACCUCAAUGAAUAUGGUUUUAAUAACUCAAUGGUAUUUAAUGUACAAUCGCUGUCUUAUUAGGUCUAAAUUAAAUCCUUACUUGAGACACUUAA